RNAcentral lists this non-coding RNA (107 nucleotides) under Bacillus cereus. Its description in RNAcentral is "SAM-I sequence". It matches the Rfam family "SAM riboswitch aptamer (S box leader)". From Rfam's summary of the family: The SAM riboswitch is found upstream of a number of genes which code for proteins involved in methionine or cysteine biosynthesis in Gram-positive bacteria. The SAM riboswitch acts at the level of transcription termination control. Lineage: Bacteria; Bacillati; Bacillota; Bacilli; Caryophanales; Bacillaceae. The record is from RNAcentral. RNAcentral also lists the same sequence under 1 other name.
UUCUUAUUAAGAGAGAUGGAGGGACUGGCCCGAUGAAAUCUCAGCAACAGGCUAUAAAAGUACUGUGCUAAGUCCAGCAAACGUAUGAAGCGUUUGGAAGAUGAGGG